This 72-nucleotide transfer RNA is filed under the name Candidatus Sungbacteria bacterium RIFCSPHIGHO2_02_FULL_41_12b. RNAcentral describes it as "tRNA-Ala". It matches the Rfam family "tRNA". From Rfam's summary of the family: Transfer RNA (tRNA) molecules are approximately 80 nucleotides in length. Their secondary structure includes four short double-helical elements and three loops (D, anti-codon, and T loops). Lineage: Bacteria; Candidatus Sungiibacteriota. The record is from RNAcentral. RNAcentral also lists the same sequence under 1 other name.
GGGCCGUUAGCUCAGUGGUAGAGCGUUAGUAUGGCAUACUAAAGGCCGCGGGUUCGAUCCCCGCACGGUCCA